Artibeus jamaicensis (Jamaican fruit-eating bat) is the source of this 4330-nucleotide long non-coding RNA. RefSeq lists it as uncharacterized. Lineage: Eukaryota; Metazoa; Chordata; Mammalia; Chiroptera; Phyllostomidae. The transcript has 4 exons. The record is from RefSeq and is a predicted model, not a curated record.
UCUUGUCGGGAGGAGCCUAGGCUGGUUUCUCCGCCCCGCUCCCCGCCCAGGCUGCAGUAAACAGGGCCUGAACUCUCGGGCCUGCGGGUUAGGGCUGAGAGUCUGAGGACAAGGCGCUGGCUUUGCUAAUCACGUCACAAGACCUUGAGCCAGGGCCAAAGGCGCUGAGCGGCGCGGGGCGUCCCAGGCGGGGGAGUCUACAGAGCAGACUGGAGGAAAGGACGGCAGAGACGCGCAGGCAUGGAGGCGACUUCCCGCCAAAUCGUCCGUCUGCUGAAAGGCCAGCAGCCUCAGACAAGCCAAAGUCCUUUCCUCCUGAAUGCGCAAUCUCGUGAACUCCACCGUCUUCAAAAACUCAGCGGUGGGUGGCAGCCCUUCCAAGAGCUGGGAAAGGAGGUGGCGCUGCUCUGACGCUGUCCUUUGAAGAUGGCGGAGCCGGUCGGGGCUGAGGGGAUGCGAGCUGCACUUGGAGAGGAGGCGAUAGAGAUGCUUGUAGAGGUAUUUUACAAAGAUCAGGGUCUCGGCCCAAAAGUUGACUUCUGCUUUUUCAAACAGGCAGUCUUCUUCUACCUAAAUCAAAUGAAAAAGCCGAAAGUCAACCUUCCAGGGGGUGUUCACAAGCCCCAGUCCAGGGCAGAGUCCUACCAGACACAGAAGAGGUGUGUCCCCUCCCCCACCAGAGAGAGGGCCCACUCUCGCCUGUCAACACCAGCGGACACGAACCGCUUGCAGCCUUGAAGGUCACCUUCUAUUUUCACUUUUUGUGCUUCUCGACUGGAGAGGAAUUUUUUUCUCUAGACUUAACAUGACCUUUGAUAAAGAUGUGUUUGUGGUUCCAAGCCAAGAUAUUUGGGGGGCCUGGUGCUGAAAAGGGGACCUCAACAUGGCAGCAGGCCCUAGACCUAAAAGGUAUAUCUAGAAAUCAGCAAGGAGGGAGGAAGGGAACUCUCAGCAGCAGAAUGAACGGCAGAUCACCAAACUCGAGACAUUAACUAGUUUCUGAGUAUGACAUCAAAUUUCUACAACAUCGGGCAUUUGCAAGGUCAUUUUAUCACAGACACUUCAUCUUGUGUCUGAAUUUCCCAUAAACCAGCUGCUUUUUGAACUCCCGGCCUGCUGGUGACGCCAAGAAAGGCAUCUGAGUCAGGCACUGGUGAAUAUGAACUUGAAGUUCUCAAGCAGCCUUUGCUGCUUGUCUUAGACCUCGGUUUUCCUAUAUGUUGACUAGUCUCUCACCAGGAGGGGCUAAUAGUUUUCUUCAAGCAGCAAAUACCUUGGAAGGGCCCUGAUUCUCUGGAAAUGUUUCACUUUCAGAUGUAACCAUGGAGAGCCCCUGGCUCCUCCAAUGUUGACUAGUAAGGGUCCUCCAUAAUUCACCUCUCAACUUCCAAGGAGCCUCUUUCAAAGUCCUCCCUCUGCAUAGACCAGAACCCCAAAAGCCAGCAUGACAGCUGUCCCAGCAGCACCCAGCAGGCUGCCGGGGUCAUCUGGAGAGUUUCCUAACUGGCUGUUGCUCUGAGCAUCCAGAAGCACUGUUUCUGCGGGCACUUCAGGCCCAAGGAAGCCGGUUAGGUGCUGCACCCAGCAGGUUUAGGGCACUCCAAGCUCACCUCCACCUCCCUGAGACCCUAGGACUACCUGAGGCUCGCUCUCCGCACAGACCGGGAGGUCAUCACUGUCUUCCAACAGCCACCCCAGCAGGACUGGGAGCCCAGAGGCCAGCCGGUCCCACUGCUGGAGCAGGUCACACAGCACAACCAGGGCCAGAUCCAGGGCGAUGGAGGCAUCCACCUGGCAGAAGGCAAAUUCUGUGGAAAUGAGAGAGAGGCAAGGACUGAAAGCCCCACAGGGAAGAAAAAAACUUUCCUGUACCAGCAAAUUCAGUGCCUGCAGCUCAGGUAACACUCCUGUUGGGUCCAUCAAAGGCACACGGAGCUGACCAGAGAUGCCACCAGGAAGGCCAGACUGCCACACGCUUGGGAUGUGGUAGGAGAGUGUUGGGAACGGCAGAGGCACAAAAGGAGCACCGGCGCGCUGGCCACAGGUGGAUCCAGGUUUCACUACGGCUUUCCAGAAAAUGCCAUCAUUUCCAGUCUUCUCUGCAGACUUCCUCGCUUCUCUCAGCUGGGCAAGAGCCUGUAUUUUAAUUAGUCAUGAGAAAUGAGUGUGGAACUGAAGCCUGGUUCAGCUGCUGACUUUGCCACUCAACUCCCCCAGAGGCUUCCAGAGCCUCUCUGCACUGCCCCCCAACCCCGGCCUCUCCUGACCCUCCACCUCCAGAGCCCAGGGCUCUCCGCUCUUCGGGGCCAUCUGAGCCAGGGCCCAGAGGUGGGGUUCCAGGUAUGGAAAUCUGGGAGAGCACUUCGAGGCUAUACCAUCAAAGGUCAUCAUCUCAGCCUUUACCACUCAAGGUGACCUCUCCCUGCAACAAGUGGCCCAGACAAAGGUCAGUGUCCCAGUGAAUGGAAAGGGGUGGCACCUCCAGAUUUGAAGAACCAGCAGGAAGCCUGCGUGGGGAGCCAUGGGUAUUUGUGGUGUCUUUCUUCAUCUGAAUAUUGAAACAGUUUUCUCAAAGGAGAACCGGAUGUGCCAGUCAGUGCUCCCAACGGCACAGCAGCCCCAGCACGCACUGCACCCACUCACUGAGCCUGCUGCCCACCCACUCACCGCUCCAGGUCGCUGUCCUUGGACUUCAGCCAGACCUUCCCCCACUCCCAUCCUGGCUGGAGGGGAUGCAAACCUCACGUGGCCCAGGUGGAUCCCUUUCCUCCUGCUUCUUUCUGUCCCAAAGACAGCACGUGUGGAGGCAGCACCCCACCGAUGCCUGCAGCUCCGGGGCUCUAGGCCCCCGGAGACCCACCUGAAGCAGCUGGACGGAGGUGCAAAGAAACUGUUCAGUCUUCACACAGGUUUGCAACCGCUCACAUGGUUUUUUGAAAAAUCAGGAGGUUUCUCGUAAAACCCCAAAUCUCUAGUAUCUUUUGAACAUUCAGAAAAUCAGAACCUGGUGUCUCUGGGUCUGCAUUUUAAUGUGCUAACAGGUGCCUUGUGAAAACCAGUGACCACACCCUACCAGAGGUGCCUGUGCAUCUAACUGGGGACUACCCCACCGCCUCCCGCCUCACCCCUGUAGGCAAUGUGAGUCUGUGACCCCACAUGGGGGCACUGAGGAAGACCCCUGUCCUAGCGCCCCAAGCCGGCCCCUUACCUUUGCUGACCAGACACUGGGAUUCCUGGCCAAAGCUCUCCUCUCAUCAGUCUCCCCCACCGCUCCCUGGGCCUACCCUUACGGCUUUGAUUUACUCACCAUUCCCCGACCUUCCUCCUCACCUAGACCUAGCCAGACCUACUUGUGCCUCGGGACCCGACCCAGGUCCUGUGCUCGGGAUUUCUCCAGCCCAUCCGCACCUUUCUCUGCUCACAGCUGCAUGGCACUCGACACUGUGUUUGUGGGUGGCAGGGGAGGGUGUUCAGUGGCUUCCCCAGCGUCACUGCGCUGCCACACCUGGCACAUGGCAGAUAUUACCCACUGGGCCCUUGCUUAGGGGCUUGUGCUAAGCAACUGACUCAGGACUCACGUUUCCCCAAUGGGAAAACUCCAAGAUGACAAGAACCAGGUCACAUACGUAAACAGAAUGAUUGUUGCCAUUUCACAUUCAAGGUUAUUACUAAGGUAUAGAGAAGCAAGUUGUAAAGGGGGAGGGCCAGAUACAAACCCAUACUGGGCAUGGGGGGUUUCAGGUUCACCUACUCCUUCAUUCUGGGCAACUGAGUUUCUUUCUCACUCAGUUCUUCCCCCACCUCAGUCCAGUACUUUCCAGUGGCCCCAAGUCCUCUCAGCACCCCGCCCCCACCCCCACCACGACUGCCUUUCUCCUGACAGCACCUCCUGCUUCCUCAGUUUAAUUCCCUCGGCUUCUUUCAAGACCUAGUAGAAUGAGAUCAAUGUGUCUUGGCAAGUGGGAAUGGGGUGGUAUCCACCUACUAUUCCUGGUCAGAGCAGACCCGGGAGAAUGUUUAUCCAGGAAAGGUCUCUAGUUCCUCAAAAAGUUAAACACAGAACUACCAUAUGAUGCAGCAGUGCCUCUCCCAGGUAUAUGAAACCAUGUCCUCGGAGAAAAGCUUGCACACGAGAGUUCACAGCAGCACCCCCCAACAGCCAAAAGGUAGAAACCACCCCAAUGUCCAUCAGUGGAUGACUGCACAAACAAAGCGUGGCGCGUCCACUCAACAGAAUUAGGCAGAAAAAGAAACGAAGUGCUGAUGUGUGCUAUGAUGUGGUGGAACCAUGUACACAUUAUACCUAGUAAAAAGCCAGGCACGGAUGUCA